AGCUGGCACAUGCAGUCGAACGAUGAAGCCCAGCUUGCUGGGCGGAUUUGUGGCGAACGGGUGAGUAACACGUGAGUAACCUGCCCUAGACUCUGGGAUAAGCCCGGGAAACUGGGUCUAAUUCCGGAUAGGAGCGCCUGUCGCAUGACGGGUGCUGGAAAGAUCUUUCGGUCAUGGAUGGACUCGCGGCCUAUCAGCUUGUUGGUCACGUAACGGCUCACCAAGGCGACGACGGGUAGCCGGCCUGAGAGGGUGACCGGCCACACUGGGACUGAGACACGGCCCAGACUCCUACGGGAGGCAGCAGUGGGGAUUAUUGCACAAAGGGCGAAAGCCUGAUGCAGCGACGCCGCGUGAGGGAUGACGGCCUUCGGGUUGUAAACCUCUUUCAGCAGGGAAGAAGCGAAAGUGACGGUACCUGCAGAAGAAGCACCGGCUAACUACGUGCCA
Molecule: ribosomal RNA, 450 nt
Filed under: Micrococcus flavus
Lineage: Bacteria; Bacillati; Actinomycetota; Actinomycetes; Micrococcales; Micrococcaceae
Description: bacterial SSU rRNA
Rfam family: Bacterial small subunit ribosomal RNA
Source: RNAcentral